RNAcentral lists this long non-coding RNA (994 nucleotides) under Zostera marina. RNAcentral's name for it is "long non-coding RNA (ZMAR_LNC002319)". Lineage: Eukaryota; Viridiplantae; Streptophyta; Magnoliopsida; Alismatales; Zosteraceae. The record is from RNAcentral.
GGAUUUGUCUGGUUUUGGAAUAUUACUCGGUGAUGAGAUAGGUGGUGGCGUUACAUCAAAAGUGUCAGUGGAGACCAACUAUGUACUGAAAAGAUAGCGAUAAGAUUUGUAGAAUUGUGCUUGGAGACAAGUUUUUAAUGACCUGUCUUCCGAUUCACUUAUUCCAGUUUUCCUGAUCCAAAGUUUAAUUCAGGGGAGACAUAGAUGAAAAGAUAGAUCGGAGUAUGGACCAAUGAUGAAACAACACUGUGUGCUAGUCCGGUAGAGUUAAAUUUUGGGGUUCCCCGAAAUCACCAAGAACGGCGUUUGGAAGCAGGCGACGGACGAUGCGUGUGCCGUGUGGACUGUGAUUCUGUGUGUUGGAUCCCGAUGUGUUAAGUAUUCGAAUUAGAGGUAUGUCACUAACUGACUGACUUCACUGUAGCAGUGAUAUAAGUACACACAAUAAGAAGAAACAAUAAAGUGAUGUUUGGUUUGGAUAUUUUCCCUCAUCCUCAAUGUCCCCAACGCAGCAACUCCUGAAACUCCCUAUAUAGCAAUAUAGGUCUGCCUGCGUCGGUGCCUCUCCCCAAUUUCCGCUGCAAAAGAACUACUUAUCAUCGCUGAAAAUCUGCUCUUGCAGACUUUGCGCUAGUGGAAAAUGGCUCGGCAAUGAAUAACCCGCGGCGUGGGUAUAAUGAUAUAUCGAUAUCUGCCUGUACAUCUAGUAUCUAUCUAUCCACCUUGCCCUGCCCUGCUCUGAUACUCCUACUGUGGAUGGUUAGUGCUUCUCUGCCAUCUCAAACGUCAGAGUCCAUGUUAUGUGCUUCAGUUUUCAAGAAGACGUGAAUAGUGGAAGAAUCCAUAGAGAGAUGAGUUUUUCUUUCUUUCUUUGUAAGUGAGCGAUUUAGCGAUGAGUUAGAUAUCUUUGUAAACUGAAUUGGAUCAUUAGGAGGUAAUGAGUACUUAAAAUUUUAAUCAACUAAUUAAGAAAGAUUUGACAUUACGUUUACAG